This is a non-coding RNA of Oncorhynchus tshawytscha (Chinook salmon), 69 nucleotides long. Lineage: Eukaryota; Metazoa; Chordata; Actinopteri; Salmoniformes; Salmonidae. The record is from Ensembl.
GAGAGAAAUCUGACGAUAGCAAAGACUGCUAAUCUUCUGCCCCCUCAGUUAAAUUCUGUGGUUCACUCG